GUUGCCACGGGUGACGAGACACAGCCAGCAUUCUCCUCUCAGUUGUUGUCAAAGGCGGGCAGGGAGGAGAGAAACAGAGACACGAGCGGAGCGGCGAAGGGGAGGAAGCGGCUCGUUCUCCCGUCAAACUCAGACCAACUGUAUGCAAAAGGGCAAAAAUGAGAAAUGGUUAAAGGCAGCCAAUCAGGGGGCUGGAUUCUUUCAUCUCUGCCUCCACCCGUGUAGACGAUGGUGACAACUUGUUCUUCUAGGAAAGUGUUGCCUCAGCACUCAGCGGCGCCGGAGUGCCGGCUGUGACCCCACCGACACUGAGGAGCACAGAGACCGCGGCUCCGCUGCCGAACGCUUCGCACGCCUCUGCAGGAUCAUUCUUCUGGGCGCAGCGGUCCUCUGCUGAGGGUGAUGCCAGCCUAUGGAUGAGGAUGGCUGACGACCUCUACAGCAGCACCUUCUCCGUUUCCGAAUCCGACCUCUCCUCUUCCUCUUCGUCCUCGGCCACCGCUCCUUUUCUCACGGUUGAGCAGAGGGCAGCUUUCGUCUUUGUCCUCAUCCUCUUCAUCUUCCUGGGCCUCCUGAUCGUUCGCUGUUUCCGGAUCCUUCUGGACCCGUAUCGCAGCAUGCCGUCCUCCACCUGGACAGACUACAUGGAGAAGGACACCUUCGAUUACCGGAUUUCCUGACAGGCAGCCUGAGAGGCAGCAACCCUAACUAACUAACUGUUAAACUGAGGCCGCUAUCACACUGAUGAACUAAAGCAAAAAGCACAAGUGCUCGUUUCCUUCUUCAAUUGUCACUUAUUCUUAAACACAUUUUUUCUAAAUCAACUUUUGGUUUGUGGCUCCUGCGAGAACGCUUACAGCAAUCAUUUCAUCAUUUGUACAAGAAGUAAAUAUUUUUUUAUCAUUUUUUGCAAAAUAUUAAAUUAAAAGUCACCACAUUUGACUUUUCUGCACUCCCCCUGGAGCUGAUGAAGCAUCUCAUGGGGUUUAUCAGUAACCAUGGAUACGGCUUUGUACUGUUCAGUUUGCAAGUUGACAAAUAAACUCAAAGCAAUUUUCCUUAAACUUUCUGCAAACUUAAAUAAACUUUAGUGCUGUUAGGGCUUUUUUUAAAAAACAAAAAUGACUACUUAAUCUAAAAUAUUAUAAUAUUAACUUCCAGAUUCAAGCACACUUAAAAAGAAAAUGAACUGUAGCGAAGUCAGUCUCCCAAGAUACACAAGCAAUAGACAAUUUCUUUAAUGUGAAUUUAAGACACACGGUGUGGUCACAUGACCGACAGGUGGUCAUUUAAAUCCCAGCUUCAGCGUGACCCCAAUGAGUUUUUCAUUUUUGGACAGAUGAUGACCUGCCUGAAACCAUUGACUGUAUAUAAGAACUGGACUGAGUAACUCCCCCAAACAGGAAGUACCUGUUGGCUCAAAGAAGCCAAAAUCCUAUAAAUUUCUAUAAAGAAAUAAAGUCAUAAACUGACCAAUCAGAUGCCUUUUAUAAAAGUAGGUGGAGCCUCCUGGCCUUCACGUCCAACAUUUGGCAGAUUUUAAGUGGGUGUGGCCUUCCAACUAACUCAGACUGACUCUGACCAAUCACUACUUACUGUCAUUGUCUGGUUCCAACAUGGCGAUGUCUGUAUCGCAAGAAAUAGGAGACUGAAUUGACUUUUUUGUGGAGCCACUUUCUUUCUAUAAUUGAUGUCACACUCACUCUGUCCAGUUCUCAGAUACGGACAGUGCCUGAAACCAACCAAAGAGCGUCACAUGACCACAUGCUCCGACUAUAUUCUGUAGGUCCGAACCACUCCACACUGUAACACAAAAAGGAAACGUGCGCUUUGUGUUUGUGAUGCUUUAAGUCUGAUAGAGGUCUCAGUCUGCCCGGCAGGCAGCACAUCUGAGCAAAAACCCUCAACUGAAACCCAAUUUGACUCAGUCCAUGGUUAAUAAAGAUACUUUUUGGGAUGUAUCGCUAAGAAAUUAAAAGUCACAUUUGUGGGUCGUAGAUGUUAUGCCGUGAGCUGAAAUUGGGGGAAUCGUUUGCCUGAACACACAAGGCAUUAGCGGAGUGAUUAAACACCAGUAAGCAGUUGCGGUUUUUUGCUCAGACCUCGUGAAGGUUGAAGAAAUCCCUCUGCUCUGCAGCUCUCUGACAGCAGCACUGCAGGAAUCUGCAGCAGUGCAGCCAGAACAUGAAGAGAAUGUACGAGCGUGAGAGGUGGGCAGGGAUUUCAUCAAGCGCCUGUCGGGCAGCAUGUUAGGGUUGCUGUCUCUCAUGGGAAGAAAAACUCGUUCUGUUUUUUUUUGUACUACGUGUUCCCUGUUUUUGUAAAAAAAAAAAAGAAAAAAAAGAAAACUGUAAGAACUUCAUCCAACAACUUCGCGAAACUUGAUGUUGACACGAAGUGCUAUUUCUGAAGAGCAUUAGGAGGUGGAAGAGCAGGCCCAGAAGAGGUGGAGGCAAGAGGACAGAGGGAACAAGGCUGUGCUGAAUUGGUUGGACUGCAGAGACGAGACGGUUUCCAGCGCCUCUUCGUUGUCCUGUCAGCCUGUCCGUUGCUUAGUAACUGGUGUUUUCAGUGCCAGCUGAGAUCUGGAGCCAAAAAAAAAAAAAAACAGCUCUAAAGGAACAGAAACACAAACUAAAUGAAGACAAAAAAAAUCCCCCAAAUGUGUUCCACAGCAUCUGUCAGACAGUUUGGCACAAAACCAGUCAUCCUCUGUGACCUGAAGUCCCUCGGUGUUCUGAACAGAAGUCAACAGCGGCCCACCCUUGGGUGGCCUGUAGGGAUUCUGCUGUAAUGGGCCCUCUCGUUGUUGGAGGUCUCCUGUCAAACUGCUGAGCCCAACGCCUUUGGAGCAGAGAAACAGUUUGAAGUCAGAGUAGAAACAUCUGAAGGAAAUGAAAAGCUGCUUCCCUUUGAGCUUUCUCCUGACAGGAGAUUGGAACGCAUUAACAUGGUUAACUUUCUUCACUGACGAAGACACUGGGAGCAAAAACAAAACAAUGGCUGACAUAUUUCCAAUCAGCAGAUUGGUUUUUGUUAUGUGCAGCAGUUUUAGAAGAAAAUGCUAGGACUUUUUUAUUCUUUUGUCUGCUUGGUUCAAGGAGGGUUUUUCCAUGGAAGACUAAAGCCCAGCAUCUCUGCAGCUGGGCAGAAAACCUUCAAUAGGACUUUUUUUUUGCUCCUCCUCAUGGCAGCGACCCUCGCUGCAGGUGAGGUGACCAGAAGAGGAACACUAUCAGAAAUGGAGAAAAUAACUUUUUUUUCCCUUAAAGCAAAAACAGCCAAACACUGUUUCAAAACGCCGGAAUUCAAUGGGAUCAAGCUUAAAAGACAAUCUGAAUUUCCAUGGAAGGGAGUUUUGUUUUUCUUUUGAAGGAUUUCAAGGAUAUAAUAUUAUUUUUUAUCUUUUUUUUGGAGAAAGAUCUAACUCCCACAACUUUAAGAUGAUUUUAAUUUAUUUUAUAUUUAUCUAAGCAUUUAAAUUCAAGUCUUUUUUUGCCUGAGUGCAGAUAUUUUUCACAUCUUGGCAACUUUUUUUUUGUUAGUUUUGAGCACUCACUGCAAAAAAAGGCCAUCUAAAAAAAAUAAAAAAAAUCAUAUAAAUAAGAUUAAAGAAAAAUCUGCCAAUGGGGUAAGAAAAAUUGUCUCUUAUUUCAAGAAAAAAUACAACUUUUUUUCUUAAAUUAAGAUUAUUUUGCCAUUGAGAAACUUUCUCAAUCACAUUAAUCUUCUUCCCAGACAAAAAAAAGACAUUUUAUUGAAACAAGGUCUUUUUGCUUUCUUAAGAUUCAAUUUUAGGAAUUUUUUGUGAAAUUUUCAAUGUAUUUUGGUAUUAUUUAAAACAACCCACUGUGAUCUAUUUACAUGAUUUAGGGACAAAACUAGGACUGAGUGAAUCUAGAGGCAGUAUUCUACCAAACUUUGCCUCAAAAGCUGCCAUCAUCACCCUUAAUUUUAUUUUUAUUUACUUGUAAACUAAAAAAAAUAAGAUGCUUUAACAGUAUGUUGUGCAGAGGAUGUUUCUCUAACUUUUUCCAUUUUGUAGAUUGUUCCUACUUUCCCAUAGGUGUUACCUAUGGAGCUCUAUGGAUGACUGCAUUUUGACAUUUUUUUUUUUACCAGAGCUUCAGAGGAAAUAUGCAAAGUCUAGCUGCCAACAAAGAAGGACCUAAAUUUCCUCAAGAAUCUGAUUAUUUUUGCACUUUUGCAUGAAAAACCAUUGUCUUGUAAUUCCAGUUUAGUCUCAAAAGAGCCAAACAUCUUAACAAAUUAAAAACACCUUUUCUCACAGCAUAACUUCUUUGUUUUAUAGUUUUAGAGAACAUUAUUACAAGUAAAGUAGAGUAAGAUUUCUUUUUUGGAUCCCACUUAGGGAGAAUGUUUUGGGUUUUUUGUGUAAAAGUAAACAAUUAAACACCACAAGGUAUCUAAUUCCAUUUGGCAAAAAUUAAACCAAAUCGAAAUUCAGUAAAUAAAUUCAAUUUUCAACAGAUUUAUUUCCAGCCCAAUGCUGCUAACUAAUUUCUUCAUCAUCUGGUUGUUCUUUAAGACGGAUACGUUGGCAGUUUUCUAGGCAGAGAAACCGUUUACUGGUGAGCAUUAAAGUAUUUACAAGCAUCUGUCUGAAAGCUUGGCCAUAAAUGGAUCAAAUAAAAACAGAAACGGUUUCUUGAUGACCAAUAAAUCCACGCUUCAAUGUUUGGAAAACGUUGUUUCAUUGGCCCUGAGCUCAAACAAACGAAAACAAUAAGGAGACGCUUUAGGAGAUAAAUGAAAAAACAAAUGUCUCCAUAAAAGUCAUUGAGCUGAAUUAAAAGCCUGCGUUGUUGCAAAAGACUUGUCAUAAAAGAAAACUUCAACUUUUGCUGCUGGAGAUGGUGGAAGAUUUUUUUGCUAUUGUAAUCUCAGAAUGAGAUAUUAUUGGAGAACCAAUUUUCAAGACUUUGCAAAAGGCAGAUAAGGAUUUAUAGAUUUUGUAAUGUAAUAUUUAAACUGUUUUCGCUUAUUUUUUUGUUUGAACUUAAUCUGAGCCAGGGGUCUGCAACCUUUAACCCUAAAAAAAAAGGCUAUUUGGUUCAGGUUCUUACCAACCAACCCAGCGAAUGCUGCAAAUUCCCACUCAGUCUUCUAGAAAAGAAAAAAAAAUCACUUUAAUCAUGAUUGUGGCCAUUGAACCAUUUAAUUAUAAUGUGACUUUUAAAUACCUAAAUUAAUUGAAUUGUAGCAGCGCUAUAGUUUUAUAUACUUUAUUUUUUCGUUUGUUUUCUUUACUUUGCGUUUUUUGGCAUCUGCAACUUAAACUCAUAAGUGUCUAAUACAUUUUUUUCUUUCAUCUCUAUCAUGCUUUUUAUUUUCUUCGGAAGCAACUUAUACAUUUUUUUUCUUCUUUAUUAUGAAUUUUUUACUUAUAUUCUCAAGCAUCUUAUCUAUGUUUUUUUUCUUCAUAAUGCAUUUUUUGGCAUCUGUAACUAAUACUCCAAAGCUGACGAAGACGUUACAGUACUCCACCGCUUAUUCGCGGUUUUACGUAUUCGCAGAAUUUUUUUCAGUUGUGUAACUCUUGUCACAAAAACUCAGACAACUCAAGACGCUUGUAUAAAAUGUUUGCCUCAGAAGGAGGUGCUGCACUGCUGAGGUGUAUCUCUGCUCAGUGGAGCCCCCUCUAGACCACAGAGAGGGACCGCCGGUUGACUACCACCCUCCUCUCUCCAUGCCCCUGCAUGGAGAAAUGGCAUCAGUUGAUUCAGAAGCGGCCAAAAAAAAUCCUGUUGUGCUGAAGAAGAUAAUCACGGAGGAUAAUUAUCAUCCAGAGUAGGUAUUUAUUAUCUGAAGAAAGACAAAGCGUCCGCUCCUGAUUUUAAGGCACAGAGUAAUACUCCUCAUCUGCGUCAAAAAGUACGCUGUUACUCAAGCUGCUGUAAGAUCUUUUGUUCUGAGUCAAAAAUAAAAAAAUCCUUAUAUUGAGCAAUUCUCCAAUAUUCUUUAGUAAAUGUGUUACGAAGAAUGAUCAAAAGUGUUUUUGAUGAGUAACAGACAUCCUUCUGCCGCGGGGGUAGGGGGUUCUCCUUAUUCGCGGAUUCCGCAUAUUCGCGGAUGCCUCUGGUCCCCAACCCCCAUGAAUAGGGGGGGAAUAUUGUAUUUUUUUUUCCUUUUUAUGGACGUUUGGCGUCUGCAACUUAUACUUCAAAGCGUGUAACAUGUUUUUUUUUCUAUCUCAUUAUGCCUCUUUUUUUUGCGUAUGUAAUUUAUACUCCAAAGUAACUUAUAUGUAUAUAUGCUCUGUAUAUACACAGUAAUACAUCUAUAUUCAUGCUAUAUAUAUAUAUAUAUAUAUUAUAAACAGUACAUAUACAGUAAUAUAUAUAUGUAUAUACAGUAUAUAUAUAUAUAUAUAUUUAUAUAUAUAUAGGAAGUGGUGUAUAAAUAUUUUUUUCUUUUUUUCUCCUGUCAAAAUAAAAUUUGUUUGAAUUAGAAAAGCUACAAAGUCGAAUCAAACAUGGUAUUUUUGAUCAAUAUGAAUGCAAUAUAUUUUUUAAAAUCCAUACAUGUAAAUGCAAUUCAAUAUUUUAAGAAAGUUGUCUCUGAACAUAAAUUUACAUUAUUGUGCCGCAAGAGAUAUGAACAUGUGCUUUAAGACCAUUCUAGGAAUAAACCACAGUAUUUCAUAACCUUAAACUAUGAUAAACUAAAUCACAAAUCUAAUAUUUAUUCAAAUUAUUUGUGUUUUUUCUUCACAUGGAGGGCUGAAAGAGAAGUGGCUCCAAAGGUUGCAGACCCCUGACCAAAGCCAAAAUCUUCGUUUUGUCAAAUCUUCUUUUAAAAAGUAUCCAUGUUACAUCUGUUUUUCUUCAACACAAGUGCAUGCUCAUGAAUCUUCAAAUUAGGUGGGAUAUAAAAGGAAAUGCACUGCCUCCGUUUUCACGCGCAUGCCUUCCCAGCAGAAACAAACACGCACAACAAAACCAAACACUUCUUUAACGCCAACACAAUAUCUGCACACACACAAAAUGCUGGCUGUCAAACACUUUUAGCAUCUCACUGCCAAACCAAACCUUCUCUUUCCCUCUGUCCUACCCCUCUCGUUCCAUACUGUCCCUUCCUGCUGUGCCCACCCCACUUUCCCUGCGCUCAGAUGUUUUUUAAUCUCCUUUUUGCUUUACUACCCUGACAGGUGAAAUGAAUUUGUGUUGCUAACACCAAUAAAGAAGUAAAACGGCGAUAAAGGAAGGGAAAAAAAAAAAAGUUCUCUCUUGGACGUCUUUUUGUCUUAUCUCCUCUCCUGCCCUGACGCUCGUCUUCCGCUGAAAGAGCUAAAACUCUUAUUACUAAGCUGUCAACUGCAGGUGGAUGAAAUAACCAUUGUGAGGGCUUUUAUUGAAGGUGCAGUAAUGUGCUUUAAGACUGCCGACAGCUUGGUUAUAUUUGUUAUUACACUAUUGACUUGCAAAGUGCGGCUUAGCCUCGCCGUGGGUGCAGCUUUACCUGCCCGUGUGGUUGGAAUACAGAACUUUUUUUGGUUUGAAUUCACAUUUAUUUGACAUGUUUUAGGUGAAUAACUCAUGAAACGUGGUUACAAAACCAUAUGUUUAUGCAUUUAAUCUAUUUUAGUAAUUUUGAUUGUAGGUAAUUAUUGAAUACUAUUGGUAAUAUAGUGUAACUUGUGACUAUUAAGCUGUUUUUCAAACUGCUUUUUUUCUGCUCUUAAUUUAAAAUGAUUUGAAUAAUAUAAUAAUAAUAAUAAUAAUAAUAAUAUUUAGACAAGCAAUUUUCUUUAUUAUCUGUCAUAAAAAAUGCCACAAGAACAUGUUUAAAACACCACUUUAACUGGAGUAGGUCAUAAAAAUGUGUCCAACCUGAGUAUUUGAUAUGGCGUUCGAGUCUGUCUUAACUUUAAGCACUAAAUUGGAUCCUUUAUUGGAGUACUUUAAGAUGUGGUUAAAAAAUAUUAAAAAUAAAUUUGUUUUGGAAUUUUAGAAAGAUUAAAGCUGAAAUUAAAGCAAACACUGGUAUUUAAAAAUAAAUGUAUUUAUUUAAUUAUUUAAACUGAUCACAACCAAAAAAAAAAAAACUUUUUUUUUUAAACAAUUCAAAGCAAAAAUAUUUGGGAGCAAAAGAAAAAGAUUGACUCGAAGCAAAAUAAAAUGUAAAUGCAUUUCUAGAAUAAAUUUCUAGAAGAAUUCAAAAUAUAUAUUUAUUUUUGUUACUUUAAUAAAUUAGGAUCAGACCAAAAUAGUUUUAAAGUUAUAAAACAUGUUUUUUUUUAUUAAAUAUAUUUUUUUAUAAGACAAAUGACAGAAAGUGAAAAUGAAAUUUGAAUGAUAAUAAAACCCAAGUUGACAAUUAAUUAAUUUAAAUAGCAAAGGACAAACUGACAACUAAUCAGAGAGUGAUUUUUUAUUUAGUUUUUGUCCAAACUGUGAUAAAUGUUCUCAGCAGAGGUGUCAGCCUCUACACCCCUUCAUUUCGCCGUCUGCCUUUUAGCCAUCUGCUUCUCUCUCCUCCAUUCUUCCUCAUCCCGUCUUCCUCCCACAUCCUCUCCCUCCGUCCUUCCUCUUAGCGCUUCUGCUCCUGUCCCUCCUUGCCUUACACAAGUCUGUUUACAUGGGAUUAGCAAGUGAAGCAGCACUCUGGCUGCUGGUUCUACCCUUUAAGGGAGUCAGGACUGGACUUCUGUCUCCAGCGAGUGUUUGUUUCUCUGACAAAUUCCUUUAUUUCUUUCCUAAAUGUUCGGUGCAGCCAAAAGCUUCACAAAUGAACUCUGCCUUUAAAGCAGCUGAUUGUUUGUUAUUCUCACUGUACCUGGCGGAGAAAAUCCACCCAGACAGGCGUCUUUGUAUCUACAAAUCAAAUUGUCUGAGAAGGAAAAACAUACAGAAUUUAGGGAUGCAAAUAAAAUAAAAUAAAAUCUACUGUAGGAAAAUGUGAAAAAAAAGAUUGAAAAGAAAACUAUAAAAGUAUAAACUGCAUAAAUUUGUUAAAAGUUCAAUAUUCGCAGAAGAAAUGUCCAUUUUGUGUAGAAGUGAGUUUAACGGGUAAUUUUAUUUUUCUUUAAGUGCCUUGCCGUGUUUAAAAUGUAUCUGCCUUGAAAACUGUAAAGUCUUUUGUGUUCUUUUUAGAUUUUAUUUUAUGUACACAGUCUUUUUGGGGGGUGAUGUGUCUAUAAAAUGUGUCACACAAUCUAAAACGGUGUAAAUAUUAGCUUAGUGUUUUCAAGCUUUGUACAAAUGAUGUCGCUCCUAAAAGUUUAUUUGACCUUAAUGGUGACAUUAUUUUUCAGGUCAAAAAUGUAAAUAUUUGAAGUUAAGAAGGUUUUGAUUAAAACAUGUUUUUGGCUUAAUUUGAUUUUUGUGUGCAUAAUUAAUGAAUGAAUGAAUUCUUUAAGUUUCUAUAAGAAGGUCAAAUUAAAGUAAAGAAACAUUCAAAGAUUGGCUUUUAAAUCUCAAAUGUUACUGUUAAUUUCUAUUCGGAUUUACAACAUUACGGCCUUUGAUGUAAUUGCUUACCAGACUUUUCAAUCAAACAUAAUGAAAGGAAAGGAGUUUUGUGCAACUUCUUUUUCGUUUUGUAAUUUGGCUAAAGGUGGUGGCUUUCUAGUGUAAUUAGAAAAAAACAAGUGUGCAACGCUGUACUCUGUCAGCUGUAUUUUCUACCAGAUCAAUUUUAUUUUACAAUACAGGUGGUGUGCAACAUUUGUGAUCAGUGUGUGUGCACACUGCUCUGUGAAGUGGCUGGAAGUGAUUUGCAUUAAAAUUAAACUAUAGAUAUGCUGUCUGCCUUCUGUCUUAACUCCUUUAUGAGGCUGCGCUCUUGUUUUGUAAGGAAAUAAAGCUUCCUGUUGGACUAAAACUGA
Molecule: long non-coding RNA, 9850 nt
Organism: Oryzias melastigma (Indian medaka)
Lineage: Eukaryota; Metazoa; Chordata; Actinopteri; Beloniformes; Adrianichthyidae
Exons: 3
Source: RefSeq, a predicted model, not a curated record